Molecule: ribosomal RNA, 404 nt
Filed under: Actinomycetes bacterium
Lineage: Bacteria; Bacillati; Actinomycetota; Actinomycetes
Description: Actinobacteria bacterium partial 16S ribosomal RNA
Rfam family: Bacterial small subunit ribosomal RNA
Source: RNAcentral
UGGGGAAUAUUGGACAAUGGGCGCAAGCCUGCUCCAGCCAUGCCGCGUGAGUGAUGAAGGCCCUAGGUUUGUAAAGCUCUUUCCCCGGUGAAGAUAAUGACGGUAACCGGAGAAGAAGCCCCGGCUAACUUCGUGCCAGCAGCCGCGGUAAUACGAAGGGGGCUAGCGUUGUUCGGAUUUACUGGGCGUAAAGCGCACGUAGGCGGACUAUUAAGUCAGGGGUGAAAUCCCGGGGCUCAACCCCGGAACUGCCUUUGAUACUGGUAGUCUUGAGUUCGAGAGAGGUGAGUGGAAUUCCGAGUGUAGAGGUGAAAUUCGUAGAUAGUCGGAGGAACACCAGUGGCGAAGGCGGCUCACUGGCUCGAUACUGACGCUGAGGUGCGAAAGCGUGGGGAGCAAAAAGG